UAAUAAGUGUUUUAUGGCACUUUUUAGAUCCAUAUCCACCUUGUGUGCAAUGUCAGUCGAUCCUCUUCAUGGAGAUCGACCAAACAUCAACCUUUAUCUUUUAACUCUUUGUCUGAAAAAUAUUAUGAAUAAACAAUUCAAAAUA
RNAcentral lists this unclassified non-coding RNA (145 nucleotides) under soil metagenome. RNAcentral describes it as "partial internal transcribed spacer 1". The record is from RNAcentral.